Molecule: ribosomal RNA, 688 nt
Filed under: uncultured bacterium
Lineage: Bacteria
Description: bacterial SSU rRNA
Rfam family: Bacterial small subunit ribosomal RNA
Source: RNAcentral
CUUGAAGAAUUAAAUUAACUUAGUGGCGGACGGGCGAGUAACACGUGAGCAACCUGCCUCUUACAGGGGAAUAACAACGGGAAACCGUUGCUAAUACCGCAUAACAUGUUGAAAGGGCAUCCUUUUAACAUCAAAGGAGCAAUCCGGUAAGAGAUGGGCUCGCGUCCGAUUAGCUAGUUGGUAGGGUAACGGCCUACCAAGGCGACGAUCGGUAGCCGGACUGAGAGGUCGAACGGCCGCAUUGGGACUGAGACACGGCCCAGACUCCUACGGGAGGCAGCAGUGGGGAAUAUUGGGCAAUGGGCGAAAGCCUGACCCAGCAACGCCGCGUGAGUGAUGAAGGCCUUCGGGUUGUAAAACUCUUUGGACAGGGACGAAGAAAGUGACGGUACCUGUAGAACAAGCCACGGCUAACUACGUGCCAGCAGCCGCGGUAAUACGUAGGUGGCGAGCGUCAUCCGGAUUUACUGGGCGUAAAGGGCGUGUAGGCGGCUAGAUAAGUGUGAUGUUUAAAUCCAAGGCUUAACCUUGGGGUUCAUUACAAACUGUUUAGCUUGAGUGCUGGAGAGGAUAGUGGAAUUCCUAGUGUAGCGGUAAAAUGCGUAGAUAUUAGGAGGAACACCGGUGGCGAAGGCGGCUAUCUGGACAGUAACUGACGCUGAGGCGCGAAAGCGUGGGGAGCAAACAG